UACGAAGGGGGCUAGCGUUGCUCGGAAUGACUGGGCGUAAAGGGCGCGUAGGCGGCUUGCACCGUCAGAUGUGAAAUUCCUGGGCUUAACCUGGGGGCUGCAUUUGAUACGUGUGGGCUUGAGUGCGGAAGAGGGUCGUGGAAUUCCCAGUGUAGAGGUGAAAUUCGUAGAUAUUGGGAAGAACACCGGUGGCGAAGGCGGCGACCUGGGCCAGCACUGACGCUCAUGCACGAAAGCGUGGGGAGCAAACAGG
RNAcentral lists this ribosomal RNA (253 nucleotides) under uncultured bacterium. Its description in RNAcentral is "partial 16S ribosomal RNA". It matches the Rfam family "Bacterial small subunit ribosomal RNA", at positions 524 to 776 of the family's 1533-position model. The record is from RNAcentral.